GUGUGAGCUGGCAUUCCAUAAAUGCUUCGCGAGAUACCUGGCCGAUGGGUUUACAUGUGACAGAUCAGUGUGAGUUUUCUCAGCUGAAGGAGUACAGAUGCAAGGAAUGCUCCUGCUGGAAUGUCUCACUCCUCAGGGGGCUCCAGUACACUUCAAGGUCAACCAAUGGCCUGGUGUGCUAGCAGUCACCUCCUUCCACUACCAGAAUCAUCACUGUCCUUGCGCAAUAGCAGCAGGCUUCCCAGGCUCCCCAAAUUUCAGUGGAACCACCAGGGACUUAGUCCAUUCCAGAAACAUCUGCAAUUUGAAAAUGUAAAAGCCUUGAAGACAUCUGCAGUUUCUUCAGAUGAACAUGUAGAGCAAUCAUAUUGCUAUAGUUCCCAAGGAGACUUGCUGAGAUUCCAAAACUUCCAGGAGUGUGGAUUGAAUAAAUUUCCCUUACCAACUCUUUCCCCUUUCCUUUCCAAAGAAGGUUACGGCCGUCUACUUUUAAAGGCAUCCUAUUAUACCUCUUUUACAAGCUGUAAUAUGUAAUAAAAAGUCUCAGGUGAGCCCAGAACAUGUCUGUGAAGUGUCAGCUCAUAAUACCCCACAUAUCAUUUAUUAUAGCUAACCAUUCUGGAAUGGAGCAUAAGGUCUUUUUUGGUGCACUUUGUUUGCUGCUAUACAGCAUCACAGGUAUAGUUUUCACCAAGUUUUCUGCUACUAAGUGCAAUUAUUUAAAAAAUGAGUUAAAGGGGUCAUAUGAUGUUGCUAAAGAGAACAUUAUUUUGUGUAUUUGGUGUAAUGCAAUGUAAUGUGUUUAUGUAGUUUAAGGUUCAAAAAACAUUUACACAUAACAUAAAACAUUAUUUUCACAUAACAUAAUGUACAUUAUUGUUUCUCCUCUAUGCCCUGCCUUUCUGAAACGCGUCGAUUUUUUUUACAAAGUUCAUCGGUCUGAAAAGCGAGGUGUGCUCUGAUUGGCCAGAUAUCCAGUGCAUUGUGAUUGGCCGAAUACCUCAAGCGUGUGACGGAAAGAUUAUGUCCCUUACCAUACUGUGAUGCCGUGUCCCGGCGCGAUGAGACAAAAACAAUAAAACCCAUUACAAACGAGGCAUUUGUUGCAUCCAGUGGGGACAUAAUAACGGAUUAUCAUGACUUGUAUUGUCUUUCUACACAUUGCGUAUCGCGACACAAACACAAAACCAUUUGUCUGCAUUUGUGAUCGGAGAAACGAAAAACAACUAGCGCUACUCUACACUGCUCAAAACUCAUGUUUGAAUUCAUCAGUAGCCAAUUCUUUAAAUAUGAAAACAUGCAAGUUGUGAGUCAAAAGAGCCUGCAUUGUAGGCUCAGGGAACAGUCCUCCAUUAAAUGUGUUGCGCACACACACAAAUAUUUGGUUUGAACUGUUCUGGAACAGUGUUGAAAAUACAACUUAACCACUGAUUUCUAGUUGUGUCCUCUUUUGGAAGGCCAAACAAAGUAGUUUCGCUUUCACAAUGAAACACACAGCUUCUCCACGACAUGGCGGCGGCAAGCAAGAAUCAAAGUUACUCCUUUCUUUGCGUGGGUGGUGGGGAACGUCGUGGGAAAGUCAUGGCCUAAUGGUUAGAGAGUUUGACUCCUAACCCUAAGGUUGUGGGUUCGAGUCUCGGGCCAGUAAUACCACGACUGAGGUGCCCUUGAGCAAGGCACCGAACCCCCAACUGCUUCCCGGGUUCCGCAGCAUAAAUUGCUGCUCUCUGUGUGUGUGUGUGUGUGUGUGUGUGUGUGCGCACUUUGGAUGGGUUAAAUGCAGAGCAAGAAUUCUGAGUAUGGGUCACCAUACUUGGCUGUAUGUCACGUCACAAACUCAUGUCACUUUUCAUUUAUGUAAAUCUUCACACAGUAACUUAGACAUGGGGGUGCAUUUAAAUGAGACAUUUUAGGAGGGCAUGGAUGAGUCUUAAAUUAAGAAUAUCUCUUUGGGUUUGAGACUUAAGUCUUUGCCACUUUAGGGAUCUUAUCUAUGCACAAACAACUUGUAAAAGAAAGGAAAACUUGAAAUCACAUCAUAUGACCCCUUUAAAUUAAUGUGAACAGAUGAGCUCAACACAAACAUAAAAUCAGUUUCCCUAUGGAGAAAAUGAAUGGAGUUUUUAUUUCCGGAACCAGAUUGUUGUGCUCUAUACCUCAUUCUCCAUAUAGCAACAACAAACAAAAAUGUUUGUUUUCGAUUAUGAUCUCUCUCACACUUAUUUAAUGUUGCAGUUUUACAUCAUAAAAUGUUUAUUCUUUCAUGCAUUUAAAAAUCCUUGUCAGUUUAAACUUCUUAUACAUGUUUUUUUUUUUUUUUUCUAAGCACACACACAAAAUGCAUCCACCAAAAGAUGGCUCUUUCGCCUUAACUGUCAAAUACACACAGUUGGUUAUGUCUGUGAACGUAAACCGCAAUGUUAGAUCUGAGAAACGGUGGCAGCAACACACUACUAACACAAUUCAACCAAGCCUGCCCAGGCCUUAUGUUUUUAAGAAUACUUUGGGCAGGAAUUAUUUAAAUUCAGGAUAAUGUGGCAUGUGUGUUGCUGGAAGAAAACUCAGGACUAUAUUUGAAGCAUUUAAAAGAGUUCAAAAACGGUGUUUACUUUAUAUACAGAAUAACUCCCUUUGGAGUGAAAUUCGUGCUUUGUAUAAUUGUGCACACCUUUUUCAUGCACACACAGUAACAUUAUCCACUAAAGGAAGCUGAAAGUGUAAAACAGCAUAAUAGCACCCCCU
Molecule: long non-coding RNA, 2742 nt
Organism: Cyprinus carpio carpio
Lineage: Eukaryota; Metazoa; Chordata; Actinopteri; Cypriniformes; Cyprinidae
Source: Ensembl